GCUUAGAGUGUGUCUGCGGCAGCUGGCACGGUAGCGAAGUGCAGUGUUUGUCCCUGUCGGUUUUGCAUCUGUGCAUAAUGGUGUUCCCCUCCACCUCCCCUCCCCAUGUAACACAAGAGUCACAAAAUCAUAGGAUACUAGGUUGGAAAGGACCUUAACGAUCAUCCGAAUUACAAGAAAUCAAAAGCCUUUUUUGUUAGACAUUUCAAAGUGUUUACAACGCUAAGAUAUUUGGUAACUUCCAUGGUUUUUUGGUGUGGGUUGGGUUUUUUUUGUGUUGGUUGAUUUUUUGACAUUCAUUACUUUUUUUCAAUACUGUAAGCAAUUUUGAGAGUAGUUCUUUAUAUGUGGUUCUAUGUUAAAACUUUAUUAUAUCUGAUUUUACUCUGGGUAGCCAAUGUUCUGUAACUGCUCUAUCAUGAAUUCUUACAGGCAAAACCUAUGUGUUACUUUUUACACCUUCCCAAGGUAUUAUUUUUUAACAAAUCAACUGUUACUUUAUGAUCUCUCAAGCUAUAUAGUUUGUAGUGAUGGUCGUUGCCAGUUUUUACAUAUAGAGGCCUGGUGUAGAAAGGAUUGUUGAUACUUUUGGGAAACAGCCUAUAUGGUUAAAUGAGUUCCUGUGAGAGUAUCUUCUGUGAGUAUUUACGUUGCAGAUUAGUGCUUCAGUUUUAUGGCAGACUCUUUGAGAUUUGUCUUGAGAUCUGGUUAAGUUGGCAAAACCAUAGCGUGGAUCAUUUUGUAAGAUUAGGCAGGAAGAACAGCUGCCUGUUGCCAAAUGCUUGAGGUUAAAUUGUCCCUAACCUUUAACAGAGUAUUGUGUACUUAUAUUUGGCACAAACCUAAUGAUUAAAGAGCAAGGACUUGAUAAUUAAAUAGUAAGAAAGUACUUUAAAAAGGGCAGAACACAUGUGAAGAUCUUUCUUCAUCUUCUUGAUAAUUGCUGAUUUAAGCACCAUGGAGACACGGAAAGGGGGGUAGGGGGGAAAGGCAAACACCCCAGAAAUAAACCCAGACCAUUGUGAGUGCAAGCUUUAAGGUUUGGUGGUGGUGUGGGUUUUGUUGGCAUUUGGUUUAUUUGUUUGGGGUUGUUUGUUUUUGUUGGGUUGGUUUGUUUUUUUUUUGUUUGGUUGGCUUGUUGCUUUGUGGUUUUGUGUUUGUUUUUUUUUUUUUCUUCUCUGCAAGUAGAAGUGUGUGGUCAAAAAGUUCCUUUCAAGAAGACUCAUUGCUUUAAUGAAUAUGACCAAAUAACAAAGCUGCAAACUGGAGUACCCAUCGGAGUUACUAUGUCUAGCCUUACUAUUCUGGCAAGGCUAGACGUAAUCUCUUUGGAGUGUUUGGUCCUUUGGUCUGAAUCUCGUGUCAGCAAGAGAAAUGAUAUAAAAUGCUGUAUCUCAAGGGUAUCUUUUCCAUGUAUAGGCUGUCUGGUAAUGCCUCUUUACUGCUUGGAUUGGUAGGCUUAAAGUAUGUGUUCUGUGUCAAAAGAAAUUCAGCGUAGACAGUGGCAGGCAGGUUCUAGCAGAAAACUGAACAUUAAAUUUCUGUUCUAAGGCUUUAUAGCUGAAACCAUUACUUUUACUGAGGCUUUUGGGGGAAGUACUGUAGAGGAUUAAGCUGGUCACAAGCAGAUUUCAAGGUUGUGAGGAAGAACUGUUUUUGUGAAGUGUCAAUCUGUACUUCUGUACUUUCACUAACAUUCUCUCUCUUUUCCCUCUGCCUCCACCCUUGUUUUUUCUCUAAACCAGUGAAAAAACUGAGUUUGGCAGUUUACUAAUAGACUUUCCCAAGUCCUGUCAGUCUGUCCAGAUUACUAAAAUGCAAGCUGUUUUCAAUUGUGACUUAAGAGCUGGGCAGUCAUCCAGUAUGUGCUUUUAAAGCCUUGUAUUGAAGAAGAGCUAAUUAAUAUUGGCUGCUUAUAAACAAAUGGCUGCAAGAUAGAGUAAAUAGUACUUGUAGGCUAUCUCUAAAUAUAGAUGUAUUGUGAAGCAAUGAAGUGGGUACAGGAUUCUUUAAGAUAAUUGCUAGUACUGAUAUUUGAGAAUUUACUAAUUGGUUCUGUUUGGUAUAAUGUAUUAAAAGUAUGAGCUUCCUAUACUUCCCUUCGAUAGAUGUAAAAGCUGUCGCAUCUCCCUGUCUCACCUUCUUUAUUCCCCCCCGCAGUCUUUCUUGAAGUCUUCAGUUUCUUUACAGGAUAGUUCUGCAGGGAGAAAGGCACCAUUUUUUUUGUAGUAUGCACCAAGUCCCUAGGAGGAGAAUUACGUUUCUUUCAUAAUCCGAAAGAAGAAUAGCAUUUGGAAUAAUGGCAACAGGAGACCUAAAAGGAAGUUUAAGAAAAAUAGAGCAAGGACUUCGCUUGAUAAAUUAUCCAAGAGAUGUGGAUUAUACAGUGCUAGUAAAAGGUGAUCCAGCUGCAUUUUUACCUAUCAUCAGCUAUUCUUUUACAUCUUUUUCAACUUACGUAGCAGAGCUUUUGGUAAAGUGCAAUGUGGAACUCACAGCAAAGAGUGACUUGCGUUUUAUUGAAGCUAUUUAUAAGCUUCUUCGAGAUCAAUUUCAAUAUAAACCAAUUUUAACAAAACAGCAGUUUCUUCAGUUUGGCUUUGCAGAAAGAAAAAUGCAGAUUGUUUGUGACAUUAUCAACUGUGUGGUGAAAAAACAUAAGGAAUUAAGUAACUCGAAUAAGGUUAAAUCCCAAACAAGGAAAAAACCCAGAUCUUUUAAAUCUGAAAUAUGGUCAAAUUGUGAUAAUGUCGUUACUGAUACUAGUGACCGUGCUCUGAAUUCCAAACAGAAGCCUCUAGUAGAACGGCACUCAGGAAAUGAAAUUGGUGGUGACUUUCAUCCAUUACCCCUUCCAGCACAAGGAGGUAAUGAAGAAGAAUUGUGCCUAGAUCAGGAUAUUGUCGAAGUUAAUUGUGAACAAAUCAUAGAAGAUAAUUCUCAGAUUGAGUCCCUGAAGAAUCAGCUUGCUGAUUGCCAGGAAAAGCUUCGUAAGCUGGAUUGGGUGGAAGAUAAACUACAUGUUUUAGAAGAGAAACUGGAAGGAAAGGUGAUCAUAGAUGAGAAGGACUGGAAUAACUUGUUGAGUCGAGUUUUGCUUCUUGAAACAGAACUGUUGUUGCAAUCCAAAAAGAGAGAGUUACCUGCAGAGUUAAGCAAUUUAAGUCACGAAGGUUCUUCUAGUAGGUUGCCAGUUUCCCCUGCUUAUUUGAUAACUGACCCUGCAAUAAGAGAGCAAAAGUCAAAGGUGACCCAAACCCACCUGUUUCUGCAUAGAUACAGAAAGGAAGGAGGACAUGCCAGAGUGUCUUCGUCAGUUGUCUGGAUACAGUUUACUAUUAUCCACAGACCCAUCUCCCAGAGCUGUGACCAUUAAUUCUCAGGAUCUGACAGACAUUUCAAAGGAGACAACAAAACAAAGAAUGGAAAGGAUAAGUAAAAUAAUUGAAGAAACCUCAGAAUUGUUGAAAACAUCAAGCAACAACUCUGAGAAGAUCUGAAAGCACAGGUCUUCAGUCCUGGUGUCUGUAAACUUAUGGAUAUCAGACCUAAUAUGUAUGUUUGUACAGCAUUAAGUUUUUAAUAUAUCAAAUUUGUAAUGAUCACCAGUGCUUUUAUUCCUUUGAAUAAAUAUUUCUCUAAUGCA
This is an RNA transcript of Strigops habroptila (Kakapo), 3646 nucleotides long. It is a transcript of the gene named centrosomal protein 44, with no coding region annotated. The transcript is spliced from 11 exons. The record is from RefSeq and is a predicted model, not a curated record. NCBI's taxonomy places the organism in Eukaryota, Metazoa, Chordata, Aves, Psittaciformes, Psittacidae.